AACAAAUGUGAGCAGAUCAGCUCUCUGGAGUAUGUCAUACUCUGCUUUGGCUCCUAACUGCAGCUCACAAGCAGAGUUCUUAGCACAUUUUAUGUAGGAAGUCCACCCCAUUCCUUUCAAAUGAUGAAAUUUAGCUGUAUCCUAAAGGAUAUGAUCACAGCUACCCUACUAGCAGUGACAUUCCAGACCAUGCAUGCUGACAGGCCAAGUUGGGCAUCCACUAAUCCACAUCUCCAUGAGGCAGUUGAAUUAAGUGUCCAGACUCAAAGCCCUGGUAUUUCUGGAACAAAACAAUCUAUUUUCAGUCGUUGUUUGUUUUUUUUUUUUCCCACAGAAAACCCGCAGCCAGCAUCACAGCAAAAGCUUGGGAACAUCUCUUUGUUUCCUAAAAUCCAGGAAAGAGGAAUGCGUGUUCACAGGCUUUGUUAACCUCACAGGCUGAGUUAAACCUGGUUAUAUCCUGUACCAGCCCCACUGAAGGACAGCAUGAAGAUAAAGGUUGUCUGAAUUCAUCCCACCUGACUUCCAGGUUUUAGGACAGGACCCAAAGAUCACUGAACCAUCAGUGGAAAGAAACAAACUCUUCCCAAGAGUGAAUCGGGUUCUAUUCAUCAGCUGCAAGGUCUAUGCUAGGAUGUUGUCUCCUUGCCUGCACAGCUGGGGUAGUUCCUCACAGGCAGCUGGGAAAUGGGCCUGGACAAGAGGAGUGUGGCUUUUCUUAGGGCUUGCCUCCCUCUGGACAAAAUCUUGGCUUCCAGGGAGGAAGACAGCUGCACCAUGCAUCCAGAGAGACUGUGUGAAUAGCAG
Molecule: long non-coding RNA, 807 nt
Filed under: Coturnix japonica (Japanese quail)
Lineage: Eukaryota; Metazoa; Chordata; Aves; Galliformes; Phasianidae
Description: lncRNA (ENSCJPG00005013395.1)
Source: RNAcentral